RNAcentral lists this non-coding RNA (60 nucleotides) under unclassified sequences. RNAcentral describes it as "msiK RNA". It matches the Rfam family "msiK RNA". The record is from RNAcentral.
CUCUGUCGUCUCUUCACAACGGAUCGUCCGGCACGUACCUGCCGGUGAGAGAGGAAAAAA